UACGAAGGGUGCAAGCGUUAAUCGGAAUUACUGGGCGUAAAGCGCGCGUAGGUGGUUCAGCAAGUUGGAUGUGAAAGCCCUGGGCUCAACCUGGGAACUGCAUCCAAAACUACUGAGCUAGAGUACGGUAGAGGGUAGUGGAAUUUCCUGUGUAGCGGUGAAAUGCGUAGAUAUCGGAAGGAACAUCAGUGGCGAAAGCGACUUCCUGGACCAGUACCGACGUUCAGGCACGAAAGCGUGGGGAGCAAACAGG
This 253-nucleotide ribosomal RNA is filed under the name uncultured prokaryote. RNAcentral describes it as "partial 16S ribosomal RNA". It matches the Rfam family "Bacterial small subunit ribosomal RNA", at positions 524 to 776 of the family's 1533-position model. The record is from RNAcentral.